RNAcentral lists this transfer RNA (107 nucleotides) under Candidatus Heimdallarchaeota archaeon LC_2. RNAcentral's name for it is "tRNA-Met". It matches the Rfam family "tRNA". Rfam says of the family: Transfer RNA (tRNA) molecules are approximately 80 nucleotides in length. Lineage: Archaea; Promethearchaeati; Candidatus Heimdallarchaeota. The record is from RNAcentral.
GGGCCUGUAGCUCAGCCUGGUUAGAGCACUUGGCUCAUAAAGGCUUCUACAAAUAGAAUUUGCCUUGUGAUACCGAGUAGUCGGGGGUUCAAAUCCCCUCAGGCCCA